This 422-nucleotide ribosomal RNA is filed under the name uncultured bacterium. RNAcentral describes it as "bacterial SSU rRNA". It matches the Rfam family "Bacterial small subunit ribosomal RNA", at positions 355 to 774 of the family's 1533-position model. The record is from RNAcentral.
UGAGGAAUAUUGGGCAAUGCCCGCAAGGGUGACCCAGCAACGCCGCGUGGAGGAUGAAUGUCGUAAGAUUGUAAACUCCUGUUAGAGGGGAAGAAUAGUACCGGUUGGACCGAUAUAUGACUGUACCCUCAGAGAAAGCCCCGGCUAACUACGUGCCAGCAGCCGCGGUAAUACGUAGGGGGCAAGCGUUGUCCGGAUUUACUGGGUGUAAAGGGCGCGCAGGCGGGAUAAAAAGUCAGUGGUGAAAUCCUACAGCUUAACUGUAGAACUGCCUUUGAUACUUUUAUUCUUGAGUUCGGGAGAGAGAGACGGAAUUCCAGGUGUAGUGGUGAAAUACGUAGAUAUCUGGAAGAACACCAGUUGCGAAGGCGGUCUCUUGGUCCGACACUGACGCUGAGGCGCGAAAGCGUGGGAAGCAAACA